Molecule: ribosomal RNA, 253 nt
Filed under: uncultured bacterium
Lineage: Bacteria
Description: partial 16S ribosomal RNA
Rfam family: Bacterial small subunit ribosomal RNA
Source: RNAcentral
UACGAAGGGGGCUAGCGUUGUUCGGAUUUACUGGGCGUAAAGCGCACGUAGGCGGAUCGUUAAGUGAGGGGUGAAAUCCCAGGGCUCAACCCUGGAACUGCCUUUCAUACUGGCGAUCUCGAGUCCGGAAGAGGUGAGUGGAACUCCUAGUGUAGAGGUGGAAUUCGUAGAUAUUAGGAAGAACACCAGUGGCGAAGGCGGCUCACUGGUCCAUUACUGACGCUGAGGUGCGAAAGCGUGGGGAGCAAACAGG